GGAUGUGAGGGCAAUCUGGCUGCGACAUCUGUUACCCCAUUGAUCGCCAGGGUUGAUUCUCGGCUGAUCUGGCUGGCUAGGCUGGUCUCCCCUUCCUCCCUCACCGCUCCAUGUGCGUCCCUCCCAAGGACGGCCUUCCCCGAUUAGAGACGGACCAGUCUUCAGUCUAGGGUAUACGAGUAGCGAGUAGCUGCGCUCCCCUGCUAGAACCUCCAAACAAGCUCUCAAGGACCAUCCUACUUCUUAGUGAAUAAUUUAUUCCUUAAGACCAAGAGUAAGUACAGGUAUAAGAACAAUGAACCCACCUUCUCUGACCCAUCUUGGAUGGAGCUAGAAGGA
Molecule: small RNA, 339 nt
Filed under: Erinaceus europaeus (western European hedgehog)
Lineage: Eukaryota; Metazoa; Chordata; Mammalia; Eulipotyphla; Erinaceidae
Description: 7SK RNA (ENSEEUG00000021735.1)
Rfam family: 7SK RNA
About the family: 7SK was discovered as an abundant small nuclear RNA in the mid-70s but a possible function has only recently been suggested. Two independent studies have found that 7SK RNA binds the CDK9/cyclin T complex (known as elongation factor P-TEFb).
Source: Rfam by way of RNAcentral